RNAcentral lists this transfer RNA (71 nucleotides) under Deroplatys desiccata. RNAcentral's name for it is "tRNA-Tyr". Lineage: Eukaryota; Metazoa; Arthropoda; Insecta; Mantodea; Mantidae. The record is from RNAcentral.
GAUGAAAUGGCUGAGAAUAGGUAAUAAAUUGUAAAUUUAUUAAGGAAAAAUAAUUAUGUUUUCUUUUAUCA